This 520-nucleotide ribosomal RNA is filed under the name uncultured Glomus. RNAcentral's name for it is "SSU rRNA". It matches the Rfam family "Eukaryotic small subunit ribosomal RNA", at positions 569 to 1089 of the family's 1831-position model. The record is from RNAcentral. Lineage: Eukaryota; Fungi; Glomeromycota; Glomeromycetes; Glomerales; Glomeraceae.
AGCAGCCGCGGUAAUUCCAGCUCCAAUAGCGUAUAUUAAAGUUGUUGCAGUUAAAAAGCCCGUAGUUGAAUUUCGGGAUCAAUAUGUCGGUUGUGCUUUUUGGUACGUACUGGGGUCAUUGGUUUCUCCUUUCUGACGAACCAUGAUGUCAUUAAUUUGGUGUUAUGGGGAGUUAGGACUGUUACUUUGAAAAAAUUAGAGUGUUUAAAGCAGGCAUUAGCUUGAAUACAUUAGCAUGGAAUAAUGAAAUAGGACGUUCGAUCCUAUUUUGUUGGCUUCUAGGAUCAACGUAAUGAUUAAUAGGGAUAGUUGGGGGCAUUAGUAUUCAAUUGUCAGAGGUGAAAUUCUUGGAUUUAUUGAAGACUAACUACUGCGAAAGCAUUUGCCAAGGAUGUUUUCAUUAAUCAAGAACGAAAGUUAGGGGAUCGAAGACGAUCAGAUACCGUCGUAGUCUUAACCAUAAACUAUGCCGACUAGGGAUCGGAUGAUGUUAAUUUUUUAAUGACUCAUUCGGCGACCG